This 71-nucleotide transfer RNA is filed under the name Bacteroidales bacterium. Its description in RNAcentral is "tRNA-Gln". It matches the Rfam family "tRNA". Rfam says of the family: Transfer RNA (tRNA) molecules are approximately 80 nucleotides in length. Their secondary structure includes four short double-helical elements and three loops (D, anti-codon, and T loops). The record is from RNAcentral. Lineage: Bacteria; Pseudomonadati; Bacteroidota; Bacteroidia; Bacteroidales.
UGCCCGAUGGUGUAAUGGCAGCACUAAUGAUUUUGAUUCAUUCAGUCCAGGUUCGAAUCCUGGUUGGGCAA